GGAAAAACAUGCAUGUGCCAUAACAACGCAAACAUACGGUGCACGUUGAGCAUGAUGGUGGCUCGUUUGCCCAUGGGGACCGCCGGGUUGCUGGCCACGCAAGCAGCACCUCCUGGUAGGACGCCCAAGUUGGGGGGGAGAGAAAGAAG
Long non-coding RNA from Entelurus aequoreus (snake pipefish), 149 nucleotides. RefSeq lists it as uncharacterized. The transcript has 3 exons. The record is from RefSeq and is a predicted model, not a curated record. Lineage: Eukaryota; Metazoa; Chordata; Actinopteri; Syngnathiformes; Syngnathidae.